RNAcentral lists this long non-coding RNA (1182 nucleotides) under Malus domestica (apple). RNAcentral's name for it is "long non-coding RNA (MDOM_LNC003706)". The record is from RNAcentral. Lineage: Eukaryota; Viridiplantae; Streptophyta; Magnoliopsida; Rosales; Rosaceae.
AUCAAGCCUCUACGGUCCUUGAAGACAAUUUUCAUUUUCAUUCAAGACCAAGCCUCAACGGUCCUUGAAGAAAUAUUUCGUAUAGAUACGCUGCUACGGCCCUUGACGAAAUUCAUCAUUUCAGUUCAAGAAAUACACCUCAACGGCCCUUGAAGAAAUGUUUCGUUCAAGAAAUACGCCUCUACGGCCCUUGAAGAAGCAAACUAAUUCAAGAUCAAGUCUCAACGACUCUUGAGUUAGAACUUUCACAUUGCAGGACUUCAAAACACGUUUCCUACAUGUGACAAGCACAGGCCUACAAUGCGCCUUGGAAGUGGGGGCAUUUGUAGACAUGUAAAUUUCGUUGCAUACAAAUAAUGCAUCACUAAGCUCCACGUGGCAUAUGACUCAUCACAAAUGGACAAGUCAUCAAUGACAUGUGGCAUAAAUCAAGCAAGGGAAGUAUAAAACAUUCCCAAAAUUUGGUUCAAGGGAGAAAACUCCCUUAAAUUCGGCAAAAGGGUCUAAAGUGAUCCUAAAACCGGAAAGAAAGCUAAGGCAUCCUCACAAAACAAGCAAGAAUUGAAGAAUGUUCACAAAAUAGGCAAUAAAGCCUCUAAAUUUCGGCCAAGGGAGUAAAGGUGGCUGAAAGUAAGACAUAAAAUAUGCUUACAUUAUCCCAUGGACGAAUCAGGACACAAAUCAAAGCUAAAUCCAUCCAAAGGCAAGCUUUGAGAAGUCUAUAAAUACAAUUUCCUGCCACAAGCAUAAGGGUCAAAAAAAUUACACAUUGAGAAAAAUCUCUGCACAAAUCUUUGAAGACUAAUACUCUACCAAAGCUCUCUUCGAAGAAUGCACAACCAAAGCCGAAGCUUUAUGUCGACCAAAGCUGAAGCACUCCUUGAAGAAUCAACAAGCACUCGUGCCGAUUCCUUCAAGACUUUGUUGCAAACUCAAAACUUGUAACAACAUUUCAAGAUCAAGUGGCCAAGACCCUUGAAUCAACGAAGUCCUACAUCAACAUCACCUUUGAAGCAGCCCUAAACCUGAGGUAAAGAUCAUCCACGCAUUGUUUCAAGCUCGAAACUUGAAGCAAUUGUUCAAUCAUUUGUCCGAGAUCAAGUCAUCGCGACCCUUGGAUCAACAAUCUAUGCAUCUACAUCAAAUUUGAAGACUAAAUCAAAGGAAAAUUGUAAACAAAGA